Molecule: ribosomal RNA, 586 nt
Filed under: uncultured bacterium
Lineage: Bacteria
Description: bacterial SSU rRNA
Rfam family: Bacterial small subunit ribosomal RNA
Source: RNAcentral
GAGUCCGCGUUUCAUUAGCUAGUUGGUGAGGUAAUGGCUCACCAAGGCAACCAUGGGUAGCCGAGCUGAGAGGCUGAUCGGCCACACUGGGACUGAGACACGGCCCAGACUUCUACGGAGGCACAGUGGGGAAUUUUGCGCAAUGGGCGAAAGCCUGACGCAGCAACGCCGCGUGCGGGAUGAAGGCCUUCGGGUUGUAAACCGCUUUCAGCAGGGAUGAAAAUGACAGUACCUGCAGAAGAAGCCCCGGCUAACUACGUGCCAGCAGCCGCGGUAAUACGUAGGGGGCAAGCGUUAUCCGGAUUUAUUGGGCGUAAAGCGCGCGUAGGCGGUUUGUUAAGUCAGGCGUGAAAUCUGGGGGCUCAACCCCAGCUUGCGUCUGAAACUGGCAGGCUUGAGUCUGGUAGAGGAAAGUGGAAUUCCUAGUGUAGCGGUGAUAUGCGCAGAUAUUAGGAGGAACACCAGUGGCGAAGGCGGCUUUCUGGGCCACGACUGACGCUAAGGCGCGAAAGCUAGGGGAGCAAACAGGAUUAGAUACCCUGCUCGUCCUAGCCGUAAACGAUGAACACUAGGUGCCGGACAAGGG